GUGUGUACUUGUAUUCAUUGUCUCAGUGUUUCUCAGUUAGUGCUGGAGGUUCUCAGGUGCUCUGGGUGACAGGUGCGGCCUAUCUGCUGAUUGCAUGGAGGAGGACUUAAGCGGGAGGCUACCAGCACUUCGAUGCUAGAGUGUUUGUCUUAGUGGUUUCUGACCUAAGGCUUUGUUUACCUUGCUGAGGCUCAACUACGCUCCAGACGUUUCUGGGGAAUUAAGAUUAUCGCCUACUGGAAAUUGGAUCUUCGUUUUUGUGGACUUCGUUCCCAACCACCUGUACUUCUCAGACAUGGACCAAGCUGGCGGCUUCCCGCUUCCUCCUCCUUCAUGACCAAGGCAUAAGCAUACUCUGUUCCACCCUCCAACACCAAUACCCGCACCCGAGCUAUCUCUGCUUUUCACCAAGUUCUCUCAGACAGCACCAGAGAGAACAGCUGAGCAACUUGUACCUUGCAAGCAAAGACCCUGAAUCCCUCUACCCCUGGUGGUUCAAGCAGCAAAAAUUUAGCAAAAUAAUCUUUGAGCGGAGCAAACAGGUGCCUGAUGACAGGGACACUCCAGGACCGGCCCAGGAGUCUCUGCCUGGCACCACGACCCAUGUUGGACACGUCGGUGUAGUGCACAGGGAAUCCAAAAAUCCUGGUCAGAAAAAAAGGGAAACAAUAUAAUAAAAAAAGGAAGUUUCAGUGGAUUGGAAACAGCCUUUUCUGCACAGCUGCAGCUUUUCUUUAACCUGCAGCCUGCUCACCUCUCCAGCUCCGUGCACCACAGGACGUCCUCCUUCCCGUUCAUCAAGACAGGGAAGUGCUGAUCUUUUCCCUGUUUGAUAGAGUUGGAUCGAGUAGUGAUGGUUCGCACCUUUCCAAACUAAGAGACAACAUGCACUGUCAAGCAUUAACUACUUUGCAUGAAAGAACUGCAGGUAAAAAAAUAUUCCUUAGGGACCUUGAUUGGCAGAGAACUGACCUUUGCAACCCGUCCAUGGUCCAGACAGUCCUGCAGCUCCAGCUUGUCCAUCCCAGAGGCACAGAGAGGCCUAAACAGGGAGUUCCAUGACAAUGAAUCUGCACAUUGCAUCACUGCAUGUAAGUCACAUCAAACCAACAACAGAAGGUGUUUCCUUGCCUACCUGUUCAUGCCCGGCAGGUUCCCCCAGAAGUAUCGGGCUCUAUGGGCAGCAGAGACCUCGAUAGCAUCGAUCAUCACAGGGUUACACUGUGUAAAACACACAGGGGUCAGGCAGAAUAUAUUUAUCUAUUUCAUAAAAUGUUAAAUGUUCCUGUCAUCACAGAAAUCUCAGGAUCUGUUUUGAGUUGAAAACCCACUCAGCCCAGUUUGGAACUCUGGGCUUUACUGCGUAACAACCAGGAAGUUAAAAGGAUUUAUUUCUAUAUUUAUAUCAUUAUAUAUCAUGAAACACAUAAAAAUUAAGGCAGAAGACAUAAUCAUGCAUAAUCACAGUUAAUAGUAAAGGGGGGUUAAAAGAUGCUUGGCUCAUUCUCGUUGGCAUGCAGCAACCAGCCACUGGGAUUUCUGCCUAAUAUUUAUUGAUAACUGCUGCAGAUACUUUAAAUUUGAUUGUCACUGCUUGUAAAUAGAAAUCUUUUAAUUAUCCUAAAGAUUCUCAAUUGUAUUGCAGUCUGGGCUUUGACUGGGCCAUUCCAGGAUGUUUACCAGUUACUCCUCAAACCAUUAUCCCAGCCUAAAUAAAAAGAUCCUUCACUGAAGAACUUCUCUA
Long non-coding RNA from Girardinichthys multiradiatus, 1744 nucleotides. RefSeq lists it as uncharacterized. The record is from RefSeq and is a predicted model, not a curated record. Lineage: Eukaryota; Metazoa; Chordata; Actinopteri; Cyprinodontiformes; Goodeidae. The transcript is spliced from 3 exons.